Molecule: long non-coding RNA, 557 nt
Organism: Diabrotica virgifera virgifera (western corn rootworm)
Lineage: Eukaryota; Metazoa; Arthropoda; Insecta; Coleoptera; Chrysomelidae
Exons: 2
Source: RefSeq, a predicted model, not a curated record
AAAUACACCAUUCACAAUAAUAUUGUUUUGUUUCCACCUACUUAUUUGGUCUCCACAUAUUGCUGUCGAAUAUGUCCUGUUCGAUUUCAUGUAUUCACUAUGCAAAUGCAGAGGUAAAUUUUGCUUGGCUACAAGGAGAGAUGAUUACUAAAGACCUGUUAAUAUUACUGAUUGGAACUUACUGAUUGUGAUUUCUGUAAUGGUGUGGCCAGUCCUCGUCAUUUUUGCUUGUGAUUCUAUAACUUCUGAAUCCCAAAAGCUGGUUGUACGAUGUUUUGAACUACAAGGGACUUUUCCGAUAUUUUCUGAGGAGAAGCAAGCAUUGCUUAACAUGGCAAGUCAUAUUCAAGCUACAAAGCCGACAAUCACCGCCUGUGGAUUUUUUGAUCUUAAUCGCAGAAUAAUUUUUGGGUUAUUUGGUACCAUUACUACCUACUAUUUUAUUGUAUUGCAGUUCAAUUCUGUUAUGUAAUAGAAAAUAUUGUUCUCAAGUUUCCUAUUUUUUUGUAAUAAUUGGAUGUAAAUGCAUAUUAUAAAUAUAAUUAAAUGUAUUCUAA